Non-coding RNA from Paramuricea clavata, 231 nucleotides. The record is from the annotation of a GenBank genome assembly. Lineage: Eukaryota; Metazoa; Cnidaria; Anthozoa; Malacalcyonacea; Plexauridae.
CAAUCAGAGAACUAAAUUUGUACCACAUGACCAUGGUAUUUUUCAGCGAAUACUAUAACCUAGGCAAUUUGAACCCUGGGUGUUUUACCCGGGGCCAUGGUAUUCGACUUCGAAUACCACGCUUGAGCGGGAAAUUCGACUUUUUUAAAUGUAAAGUUAUCAAAAGUUGUGUUUUGAAAUUAAAAGUUAAUUGAAUGGUAUUUGUUUUCUAUUUAUUUUUGAAAGGUUCGG